Molecule: non-coding RNA, 24 nt
Filed under: Cricetulus griseus (Chinese hamster)
Lineage: Eukaryota; Metazoa; Chordata; Mammalia; Rodentia; Cricetidae
Source: RNAcentral
GCCAAGCUCUGGGUUUAUUACAUC